RNAcentral lists this long non-coding RNA (663 nucleotides) under Aotus nancymaae (Ma's night monkey). RNAcentral's name for it is "lncRNA (ENSANAG00000039163.1)". Lineage: Eukaryota; Metazoa; Chordata; Mammalia; Primates; Aotidae. The record is from RNAcentral.
CUUUUCUUCUAUUGUUAUUUUUUAGAGUCCUUCGAAUUGAACGUCUCUUCAAGUUUUACGCUUGAACUGGAAUCUCUGCUCUCUGAUAUCUCAGCAUCCAUUGCUGUGUAACAUCUGCCGGAUCAGAUAUUUUGCUCUUUUUCUGUUUCCUUCUUAGGAUCUUCUGUUGGCCCUGUUUUGACAGUCUGUCUCAUCUUGGGGUUUUAGCCUCUGUGAUAUUUUCUCAAACCCAUUUCGGUCUCUGACUUAUUUUAAAGAACAGUAAUUGGUAAUGAUAAUAGUAAUAGCGACCACUAAUAAAGAUCUUAUUAAUUGCUAGUCAACAUGCUAAGUGCUUCACGUAGGUUAUUUUAAGUAACCUAUGGAACAGCCCUGUAAGACCAGUGGUUUUUAUUAUCUCCGGUGCCUUAUGUUGUCUUCAUUUUUUACAGGUGAGGAAUUUGAGGUAGAGGAGGUUGUGUAUCUUGCCAAGGCCUCAGAACUCUGUGUGUGGACAUUAAGCUUAGAAUUCAUCCCAUUCUGCCUUAACUACCUCAAUUCAACAUUCUUCUGGAAAGGUGGAAAAAGCAAGUGUAAGAAAACUGAGAAGAGAGGACCCAAUCACGCAUACUUGUGAAGAGGAGGAAUUUCCAUCUGUUGCAAUGCUCCCCACCUCUCUGUUCU